Long non-coding RNA from Eriocheir sinensis (Chinese mitten crab), 6071 nucleotides. RefSeq lists it as uncharacterized. The record is from RefSeq and is a predicted model, not a curated record. The transcript is spliced from 2 exons. Lineage: Eukaryota; Metazoa; Arthropoda; Malacostraca; Decapoda; Varunidae.
UCCACUUGGUGUCGUAGGAAUGAGCUCGCAACCGCAAAAUAGCUCGCAGAAAGAGGUCCAACUUGCUUACUUUUAAUAUAUUUCACCCAAUGCUAUCAUCUAGUUGUCAUGUUUUGGCUCCAAUACGUGGCACAAAACAUCACGGAAACACUUUUAAUAAUCCAGAGAAGGCUUAAUUUAUAACAAACGAACAGGCAGAUUUUAGGUUCAAUCAGUUCCUGCUUGUUAAGUCUGUUGAUAUGUUAUUUUCUUGCGCGCAAUAUCAACCAUCACAAUAGAUCACAAAUGGACAAGCUAGCACAAAACUAGGCAAAUUAAUGUGGUUUCAUGUUAUGUAUUCCCCAGUGCGCAUGCGCAGUGGACACCAGCGCGACUUAUUUCUGCGAGGAGGUAUUUCUCGCAUGACCGGCAUCCUUGGUUACAUCAUUCAGAAAUUCACUGCACAUCCGCAUUCCUCCACUCUUCCAGGCACCUACCCUCUAAUGGCCUUUGUGCCUCAACGGUGAAUAAAUAAUACACAAGCCUCCACAUAUCAUCUUAUCUAAUAUAAAAAACGAGAGAGGAAACAUGCAACAUCUGUGCAAUACAUUGGACCAAGAAGGAGAGGACGAGGAAGAUGCCAUGAUGGAGCAGGUGCCUCUCCACCUGGCUGAGAGGAAUCUCUUAAUCAGCCAGCACCCAUUCAAAAAACAAGGCCAGACAAGUGGUGACACCAUGGUUCUUCAUACAGUGAAGGAAAAUGGCAUCAUGAGAUAUGUGGCCUUAUUUCCCUCUCCUGAAAAAAUGGAAGUAUUGGAGAAGAGCAGAAAAUUUACAGAAAAUGAGAGUCCUGAGACUUUAGAGGCCCUACAGAAAAUACAUAAACAGGCAAUGGCCCAAAUUGACAUAGAAGCCAAAGCCCAGAACUCUGUUUCACCCUCCACUUCAAGCAGUGGACAUGAAAUAGAAGGCAAAAGUACUACUCCAGUAAUAAAAAGCAACUCUCCAGGGCAAGAAGGCUUCAUGGACACCUUUGAUUGGGACCGUUAUCAUGGCCUGGGUCCCAACUUCACCUUCUCAAAGGAGAGGCACUAUCAGAGAAUGGCAAUGUUUGCACAGAUGCCAGAAUUCCAGUCACCUGCCUAUUUGACAGAUAUCAAACUCCCAUUUGAGAUGAAUGACAGUGAACUCUUUGAUCCAGUAGAGGGCUCAAAUGAAAUUUCAAUGACUGAAGAAUUCCAAAUUACAAUCCCCAAUAAGCACCAAAAACAUAAAUAGUUUAUGAGGACAUCAUUAUAUUAUCACACAUAAUGAAUACGUGAAUAAGGAGCACUAUAGUCUAUCAAUUUUAACUUGAGCCCUUGGGCGUGACUCAGGGAUUCCUCACGAGACUGCGCUGGUGCCACAUCACUCCAUUACUCUCCUCACAGAGGGUCACUACCUCUCUCUUUUGCAUGGCUUUGCUAUGCUUGAAAGUGAGAUCUAGUUGAUUUGUCCAUUGUGUGAGUUGCGUCCAAGAGCUCAAGUUAAAAUCAAUAGACUAUAUAUAGUGUUGUCUUUUUUCUUCUACUCAGUUACCGUCUCUGAAACUGAUGUCUUUGCUUAUUCAUACUGUAAUAACACAAAUUCAUCCAUGUACACCCUGUUUAGUCUCCACUUGCUAAUGUUUCCUAUGUAUUAUUUAUUGUUCAUGAUUAUAGUUUCUUUAAAGACUUUCAUGAUAGUAAUGUUGAAUGGAUUUUGUAUUUCAUAUGGUAUUACUUUAAAAUAAAGCAGUUUAAUCUUGCACUACACUUGGAGAAUAUAACAAUCAUUUAUAACUAUUUUUGCUGGUUUAUUUUUGUAUAGUGUCAAAGCAAUUCACUAUAAAGGAAAAUUGAUACUGCAGUCAUGGCAACAACAUACUUAGUGUUGCCUUCCAUCUGAGGAACUAUAGGGGAAGUGUUGGUAUAAUGGUCAUGUUAAACUUUAAUUAGGUUACAUAAAUUCCAUUAACCAGAGUCACCAGUUAGGUAAGUAAGGUGAUCAGAUAAGGCACAUCAAUGGGAGAUUUGUUCUCAUCACUAUUUAAUGUAUUUGUUGGAAACUGGCUUUAAAGAAACUUAAAGUAGGCAUCAGAAUAGUUGAAAGAGCAGAUACACUUCCCUUCAAUCUCAUUAGAAAGUAAAGGUAAAAAAGUAAAGGGCAUACCUGUUUGCUGCAUAUGCCCCAUAGCUCAUCACUGCAUCAUUGAUGGGUAAGAACUCACUACCCUGGGACACAGGGUAAGUGUGACAUCUCGGUAAGCACAGUCUACCUCCCCAAGGUACACAUUUAUUGACUAGCCAGAACAGGAGGAUGAACCGCUGGUUGAACCUGGUCUUGACUGCCCUGGACCAGUGUUGUGUACGUGUAUGUACAUAGCUGUCCCCUUGUAUGGAGAUUUUUUUUUUUUUUUUUUUUUACAACAAAGGAGGCAGCUCAAGGGCACACACACACAAAAAAAACAAAAAUAAAAAAAAGCCCACUAAUCGCUGCUCCCAUAAAAGAAUCAGAAGAGGUGGCCACAAGCAAGGUCAAAUUCGGGAGGAGAGGUGUCCUGAUACCCUCCUCUUGAAAGAGUUCAAGUCGUAGGCAGGAGGAAAUACAGAUGAAGGAAGAUUGUUCCAGAGUUUACCAGCGUGAGGGAUGAAAGAGUGAAGAUGCUGGUUAACUCUUGCAUAAGGGGUUUGGACAGUAUAGGGAUGAGCAUGAGUAGAAAGUCGUGUGCAACGGGGCCGUGGGAGGAGGGGAGGCACGCAGUUAGCAAGUUCAGAAGAGCAGUCAGCGUGGAAAUAUCGAUAGAAGAUAGAAAGAGAGGCAACAUCACGGCGGAAUUUAAGAGGUAGAAGACUAUCAGUAGGAGGAGGAGAGCUGAUGAGACGAAGAGCCUUAGCCUCCAUUAUGCCCAGAAGAGCUGUGUGGGUGGAGCCCCCCAACACGUGAGAUGCAUACUCCAUACAAGGGCGGACAAGGCCCCUGUAUAUGGAUAGCAACUGCGUGGGGGAGAAGAACUGGCGGAGACGAUACAGAACACCCAACCUCGAGGAAGCUGAUUUAGCGAGAGAGGAGAUAUGAAGUUUCCAGUUGAGAUUUUGAGUUAAGGAUAGACCGAGGAUAUUUAGUGUUGAAGAAGGUGACAGCUGAGUGUUGUUGAAGAAUAGGGGAUAGGUGUUUGGAAGAUUGUGUUGAGUUGAUAGGUGGAGAAAUUGAGUUUUUGAGGCACUGAAGGACACAAGGUUCCUUCUGCCCCAGUCGGAAAUGAUAGCAAAGUCUGAGGUUAAGUGUUCUGCAGCCUCCAGUCUGGAGUCGUGUACUUCCUGUGUUGAUGGUCUUCUAUUCAAAGAAGUUGAAUAAUGCAGAGUGGAGUCGUUGGCGUACGAGUGGACAGGACAGUUUGUUAUGGAAAGAAGAUCAUUGAUGAAUAACAGGAAGAGAGUGGGUGAUAGGACAGAGCCCUGUGGAACGCCACUGUUGAUAGGUUUAGGGGAAAAGCAGUGACCGUCUACCACCGCAGAGAUAGAGCGGCCGGAAAGGAAACUGGAGAUAAAGGAACAGAGAGAGGGAUAGAAUCUGAAAGAGGGCAGUUUAGAAAGCAAAGACUGGUGCCAGACUCUAUCGAAGGCUUUUGAUAUGUCUAGCGCAACAGAGAAAGUUUCCCCGAAACUACUAAGAGAGGAUGACCAAGAGUCAGUUAAGAGAGCAAGAAGAUCGCCAGUAGAACGUCCCUUGCGGAAUCCAUACUGGCGAUCAGAUAGAAGAUUAGAAGUGGAAAGGUGCUUUUGAAUCUUCCGGUUAAUGAUUGAUUCAAAAGCUUUAGAUUGACAUGAAAGUAAAGCUAUUGGGUGGUAGUUUGAGGGAUUGGAGCGGUCACCCUUCUUAGGCACAGGCUGUACAAAGGCAUACUUCCAGCAGGAAGGAAAGAUAGAUGUUGAUAGGCAGAGACGAAAGAGUUUGACCAGGCAGGGUGUCAGCACAAAAGCACAGUUUUUAAGGACAAUAGUAGGCACUCCAUCAGGUCCAUAAGCCUUCUGAGAGUUGAGGCCAGAGAGGGCAUAGAAACAUCAUUAGGAAGAAUCUUAAUAACAGGCAUAAAGGAGUCAGAGGGGGGAUGAGUAGGAGGAAUAUGCCCAGAAUUGUCCUCAUGUGCAGUUUGUGAGAGAUGUCCUCUCACAAACUGCGCAUGCUCAGAAGUUAAUGUUUACAAAGACUUGUUGAUAAACAAAGCUGCAUGCAGGCAUACCCCGAUAACAUGGCUGCAGAUUUACAGAAAAGACUGGCCAAAUUUAGGGAUGAAAUAGGCCCUUUGCAGUAUCCUGUUGAAUGGACAUUAGCCACCAAACCUUACUUACAAAGGAGAAGUUAGGAUAGUUUUGUUCUGAAAUUAGCAAGAUGCUAUUUCCCGUAAUUUACCCCUGAGUAACUGCAUAAAGGCCAAUUAACGGGCCUCCACUUCACUUAUUACAAGACAGAGUACUGUAUUGGAUUAAUGAAUGCUUUUCCUAUGAAAGAAUUUAACAAUGUGCCCUCCCGUAUUUGAAAUCACUGGUGGGGGCAGCCAUAUACAUGCGACCAGCUGCGCACAUGGAUCCGUGUAUAUGGCAGUCCACUUUUUGUUUGUAAACAAAGCAGGAACAGCAAACAAGGGACAGCUAUGUACACAACACUGGGAUCGAACCUGGAUCUGCAUACUUGUAGCUAGCAUGCCAACUACUACAGCGCAAAGCCCCAUGAUACAUACUGUUAUGAACAUUAUAUGAUAUGAUACAAUGAUGUGAAGAGUAUAAUGCCAACUCAACAAUAAUACAAGUGUGAUCCAUAUUUUCUUUAUUCAAAUACAGUAUCAAUACAUAUCCAAUCUUCACUGAUGCAAAAAUAUUAAAACUUCUGUUUAUGCUACAUUCUCCCUCACUGUCCUCACACACAGGCACUUGUCUCAUUGUAGGAAGCAUUCCAUUAUAGAAGGAAGGAGACCAGUUGAUAGACCUAGGAAAAUGUGGAGAAGGUGUAUGCAGGAAGACUUGGCAUUGAUGGGAUUGGAUGAACAUCAGGCAGAAGACAGAGUAGAAUGGAGGAGAGCCAUAAAGCGUCCAAUUGCUCAGGAAGAGUGAAAAUGGACAUAAAAAAAUGAUGAUGAUGAUGAUGAUUUUACUUCUAAAGUGCUGUUGUUCAUAAGUAUAUUCCACAAUGUUCUCUGUCACCUUUAUUAUAGAGGGUCUCCAGGUUCAUGAAGGCAGCACACAACUUUACUCACUAGAAGCAAGUCAAUUAAUGGUUGAUGUCUGAUAGAUGCACCCUCUUCCUUUCUAAAUCAACUUCACCCCUCAUACUGCAGACACCAUCUCUGUUGAACCACUCAUAAAACCCUCCAUGAUACAUUCAAUACACUUAUACUUCUGCAAAUGCAGCAAACUUCCUAUUCUUUUGAACACUAUAACAGCAAGAGCAUUCCUUAAAUCAUUGGGUAUCACUAUUUUCAAACUAGGUUGCACAUUAUGAUGUACUUCACACUUUCAUCUCCAUACCUCAGCUUUUUCUGCAGUAACACCCUCUAUACAUCGUAUCACAACACUAACUAUUCUCAAAGUAGGUCUGAAGAAGAAUAUAAGUAGAACAUGAGUAUGUUUCCUAAUCAGUUGGCAGGGUGAUUAUAAAUAAUGAGAGGAAAGGAUACACUUGAGAAACAAUUAUAUAGUGCAUACUAAAGGUGGUCCGAAUAUUCAUAUUUUCUUAAUCAUGAAUACUCGCAAGUUUUUUUCAUAAUCGCAUUGGCAUUUGCAUUCAUAUGUCAUGCAAAGAUUUUGUAAAUAUUGAAUAUUAAUUUGAUAAACAGGCCUCUUUGAAAAAUAUUCUUAUAACAUACAAAAUAUCUACUACGAAUAUGCUGUGUGUGUGUGUGUGUGUGUGUGUGUGUGUGUGUGUGUGUGUGUGUGUGUGUGUGUGUGUGUGUGUGUGUGUGUGUGUGUGUGUGUGUGUGUGAGAGAGAGAGAGAGAGAGAGAGAGAGAGAGAGAGAGAGAGAGAGAGAGAGAGAGAGAGAGAGAGAGAGAGAGAGAGAGAGAGAGAGAGAGAGAGA